AAGAUUAGAGGAAAAUAAUACACCAAGAUUGAAUCAUCAGGAGUCCUUUGCAUAGACCACUCAUCUAAACUUAAGGGACAGCUGCCUUUCCGCUGAAGAUUUUUAUAAGUCCAGCCAGCAAGAAAGUUCAGAGCACCAAAAAUCUUAACUGUCGUAAGGUACAACUACGGAUCCUCUCAGGAGGCAUUCAAGUCAGCUCCUUACAGGAUCAGCCCCUUGGGGUUCCAGCCUCUGACUAUUGACGGAUUUUCUUUGUUUCUUAAUGUUUUUGUUCCUCUUCAUCUUUUUUUCUUCACAGCUUAUUGACCAACUGCCAAAUGCUUCAGUAUGGUUGCUCAGAACUUCAGCUGGAGUAAUUCAAAGGAGCUGAAUCAAUUUAUACCAGUUGAGGAUCUGAGUGAGUGGAGAUAAUAAUUGCUGCUGGCCUAUUAUACCAGAAGAAAAUCAGGUUGUUGUGUACUUACAGCUGUCAAGGGUGAUUCCCCACUCUGGCACUUUGAGUGCAGAAGCUCGGAGCAAACCGAUUGCAUAUUGGAAAAUCCUGGAUGAUGUAAAAAACAUAUUGCCUAGUAAUGAUGUUCUCCUUAUUAAGCAAGCUGGACUGCAUUUCCAUCAGGCAUGGCUUUCCAUUGUCAUGCACCUGUGUGAUCAUUUACACUUUCGUAAAGUUGGUGCAGAGUGGACGUAAAAUGCUACCAUUCAGAUUUUUUAGGCAUCUUUUCACAGGUGUAAAUAAAUGACCAAUCUAUACAAGACAGUGGACAAUCAGGCCUGUUAUUUGUAACAGUCAGCUUUGACUGGGCAGCUGAAUCCACUUCUAGCCAUCUGUAAUAAAAAUACAGAAGCACAUACCUAUGUAUACUGAAUUUUUUAUUAAUAUUUUAUUUUUAUGGUGACAUGUUACCACCAAUACCAAUUAACUAUUGUACGAUAAGUAGCAUCUUGAAAGAUCAUACAGUUUUGUAGCAUCCUGCUGAAUUCUUUGAAGCUUAGAUCUAAAUCUCUGUGGUCAAAUAGGCACCCAUGGGUGAAAUUCACCCUUCUGGAGAUGGGUAGUGUGAGGUCUAUACCCCAGUUAAGCCCCACUU
Long non-coding RNA from Trachemys scripta elegans, 1088 nucleotides. RefSeq lists it as uncharacterized. NCBI's taxonomy places the organism in Eukaryota, Metazoa, Chordata, Testudines, Emydidae. The record is from RefSeq and is a predicted model, not a curated record. The transcript has 5 exons.